This 443-nucleotide ribosomal RNA is filed under the name uncultured bacterium. RNAcentral describes it as "partial 16S ribosomal RNA". It matches the Rfam family "Bacterial small subunit ribosomal RNA", at positions 338 to 795 of the family's 1533-position model. The record is from RNAcentral.
CCUACGGGUGACAGCAGUGGGGAAUAUUGGGCAAUGGGCGCAAGCCUGACCCAGCAACGCCGCGUGAAGGAAGAAGGCUUUCGGGUUGUAAACUUCUUUUCUCAGGGACGAAGAAAGUAACGGUACCUGAGGACUAAGCCACGGCUAACUACGUGCCAGCAGCCGCGGUAAUACGUAGGUGGCAAGCGUUAUCCGGAUUUAUUGGGUGUAAAGGGCGUGUAGGCGGGAGGGCAAGUCAGAUGUGAAAACUCAGGGCUCAACCCUGAGCCUGCAUUUGAAACUGUGUUUCUUGAGUGCUGGAGAGGCAAUCGGAAUUCCGUGUGUAGCGGUGAAAUGCGUAGAGAUACGAAGGAACACCAGUGGCGAAGGCGGAUUGCUGAACAGUAACUGACGCUGAGGCGCGAAAGCGUGGGGAGCAAACAGGAUUAGAUACCCUAGUAGUC